GCCUAGCUGGCUCAGCUGGUAGGCCAUGAGACUCUUGAUCUCAGGGUCAUGAGUUCAAGCCCCAUGUUGGGCA
RNAcentral lists this transfer RNA (73 nucleotides) under Felis catus (domestic cat). It matches the Rfam family "tRNA". From Rfam's summary of the family: Transfer RNA (tRNA) molecules are approximately 80 nucleotides in length. Their secondary structure includes four short double-helical elements and three loops (D, anti-codon, and T loops). The record is from Rfam by way of RNAcentral. Lineage: Eukaryota; Metazoa; Chordata; Mammalia; Carnivora; Felidae. RNAcentral also lists the same sequence under 3 other names.